Molecule: ribosomal RNA, 1464 nt
Filed under: uncultured bacterium
Lineage: Bacteria
Description: 16S ribosomal RNA
Rfam family: Bacterial small subunit ribosomal RNA
Source: RNAcentral
CGCUGGCGGCAGGCCUAACACAUGCAAGUCGAACGGUAACAGGAAGAAGCUUGCUUCUUUGCUGACGAGUGGCGGACGGGUGAGUAAUGUCUGGGAAACUGCCUGAUGGGGGGGGAUAACUACUGGAAACGGUAGCUAAUACCGCAUAACGUCGCAAGACCAAAGAGGGGGACCUUCGGGCCUCUUGCCAUCGGAUGUGCCCAGAUGGGAUUAGCUUGUUGGUGGGGUAACGGCUCACCAAGGCGACGAUCCCUAGCUGGUCUGAGAGGAUGACCAGCCACACUGGAACUGAGACACGGUCCAGACUCCUACGGGAGGCAGCAGUGGGGAAUAUUGCACAAUGGGCGCAAGCCUGAUGCAGCCAUGCCGCGUGUAUGAAGAAGGCCUUCGGGUUGUAAAGUACUUUCAGCGGGGAGGAAGGGAGUAAAGUUAAUACCUUUGCUCAUUGACGUUACCCGCAGAAGAAGCACCGGCUAACUCCGUGCCAGCAGCCGCGGUAAUACGGAGGGUGCAAGCGUUAAUCGGAAUUACUGGGCGUAAAGCGCACGCAGGCGGUUUGUUAAGUCAGAUGUGAAAUCCCCGGGCUCAACCUGGGAACUGCAUCUGAUACUGGCAAGCUUGAGUCUCGUAGAGGGGGGUAGAAUUCCAGGUGUAGCGGUGAAAUGCGUAGAGAUCUGGAGGAAUACCGGUGGCGAAGGCGGCCCCCUGGACGAAGACUGACGCUCAGGAGCGAAAGCGUGGGGAGCAAACAGGAUUAGAUACCCUGGUAGUCCACGCCGUAAACGAUGUCGACUUGGAGGUUGUGCCCUUGAGGCGUGGCUUCCGGAGCUAACGCGUUAAGUCGACCGCCUGGGGAGUACGGCCGCAAGGUUAAAACUCAAAUGAAUUGACGGGGGCCCGCACAAGCGGUGGAGCAUGUGGUUUAAUUCGAUGCAACGCGAAGAACCUUACCUGGUCUUGACAUCCACGGAAGUUUUCAGAGAUGAGAAUGUGCCUUCGGGAACCGUGAGACAGGUGCUGCAUGGCUGUCGUCAGCUCGUGUUGUGAAAUGUUGGGUUAAGUCCCGCAACGAGCGCAACCCUUAUCCUUUGUUGCCAGCGGUCCGGCCGGGAACUCAAAGGAGACUGCCAGUGAUAAACUGGAGGAAGGUGGGGAUGACGUCAAGUCAUCAUGGCCCUUACGACCAGGGCUACACACGUGCUACAAUGGCGCAUACAAAGAGAAGCGACCUCGCGAGAGCAAGCGGACCUCAUAAAGUGCGUCGUAGUCCGGAUUGGAGUCUGCAACUCGACUCCAUGAAGUCGGAAUCGCUAGUAAUCGUGGAUCAGAAUGCCACGGUGAAUACGUUCCCGGGCCUUGUACACACCGCCCGUCACACCAUGGGAGUGGGUUGCAAAAGAAGUAGGUAGCUUAACCUUCGGGAGGGCGCUUACCACUUUGUGAUUCAUGACUGGGGUGAAGUCG